UACGUAGGGUGCAAGCGUUGUCCGGAAUUAUUGGGCGUAAAAGAGCUCGUAGGCGGUCUGUCGCGUCGGCUGUGAAAACCUGGGGCUCAACCCCCAGGCCUGCAGUCGAUACGGGCAGACUAGAGUCCGGCAGGGGAGACUGGAAUUCCUGGUGUAGCGGUGAAAUGCGCAGAUAUCAGGAGGAACACCGGUGGCGAAGGCGGGUCUCUGGGCCGAAAUUGACGCUGGAGGAGCGAAAGCGUGGGGAGCAAACAGG
This 256-nucleotide ribosomal RNA is filed under the name uncultured bacterium. Its description in RNAcentral is "partial 16S ribosomal RNA". It matches the Rfam family "Bacterial small subunit ribosomal RNA", at positions 524 to 776 of the family's 1533-position model. The record is from RNAcentral.